AGAACAGGGAUACGCUGGCGGAUGCUUAAACAUGCAAUGUAGAACGGGUUUAAGUUUAUUACACUUAAAUCAGGUAGCGGACGGGUGAGUAACGCGUAAGAACCUACCUUUAGGUAAGGAAUAACUAUUGGAAACGAUAGAUAAUACCUUAUAAGCUUAUAGUACAAGAUAAAAUCGCCUAAGGAUGGGCUUGCGUCUGAUUAGCUUGUUGGUGAUUUAAAAGAUUCACCAAGGCAACGAUCAGUAAUUGGUCUAAGAGGAUGAUCAACCACACUGGGACUGAGACACGGCCCAGACCUCUACGGAGGGCAGCAGUGAGGAAUUUUCCGCAAUGGGCGAAAGCCUGACGGAGCAAUGCCGCGUGGAGGAUGAAAGCUUGUGACUCGUAAACUCCUUUUCUUAGUGAAGAAAUAAGACGGUAUCUAAGGAAUAAGCAUCGGCUAACUCCGUGCCAGCAGCCGCGGUAAUACGGAGGAUGCAAGCGUUAUUCGGAAUUAUUGGGCGUAAAGCGUCUGUAGGUGGUUAGAUAAGUCUACUGUUAAAUAUUAAGGCUUAACCUUAAACAAGCGGUAUGAAACUAAAAAACUUGAGUUAAGUAGAGGUAGAGGGAAUUCUCGGUGUAGUGGUGAAAUGCAGUAAGAUCGAGAACAAAACCGGUAGCGAAAGAGCUCUAAUGGGCUAAAAAUGACACUGAGAGACGACAGCUAAGGGAGCCAAAUCAGAUUAAAUACCCUAGUCAUCUAGCUGUAGAGAUGCUACAAUUGUGGCUUAAC
RNAcentral lists this ribosomal RNA (773 nucleotides) under uncultured phototrophic eukaryote. Its description in RNAcentral is "bacterial SSU rRNA". It matches the Rfam family "Bacterial small subunit ribosomal RNA", at positions 21 to 828 of the family's 1533-position model. The record is from RNAcentral.